AGGCCCUUUCCUGUCAGGCUCAGCAGGAGGUUGCAUACUAAUGCUCUACCUGCCUGUUAGAAGUGCAGACAGCUGACCUGAGAACAGAAGGUAGAGAACACGUGUCACGCCAUAGGUAUCAGAGUCCACUGGCCCAGCACUUCAGCAAGCCUCACAUCAUGACGGGGAGCAGGCUGCACAUGAGAAAACCAGCAAACCAGAUCGUUGUGAUCAGUGUGUCUCCUCAUCAAACAAAAUCCUCUCAAAUCUGCACAGAUAUGCAGGUGACAUUUCCACCUGGAUGACAGCACAUAAUCAGCAAGAUGAAGAUGCUCUUCAUCCGAGGGAAAGCCUGCCCAUUCUCAGAUGUUAGAUCAUCCGAGGUGAUCACAUGUCAUUUACAUUCCAGCCCUGGUCAGCUCCAGAUUUGACUACUUCAACUCACACCCUGCUGGAAUCCCUGCAUUCUCAGAUUCCCCUCUGUUAUUAAUCUCUAUUUGUAAUCAAUAAAGUGUUUCAAAAUGCUGUACUUAAAUUAACAUAUGUUCCAAUCAUUCCUGAGAGAGAAGGGGUGUAAUUUCUCCAGAUGGGUGUGUGGUACCUUCCUCAUCCAUGCCAACAAGAUGUUACUUCUUGUGGGGUCAUUGCCUUGAAAGUAAGUAUGAGAGUAUAAGUAAUGUACAAUUAACCUACUGAAAGUAUACUGACUAAAAGGCAAAACAGAACUGUGAAAUUGUAUUAUAGCUGUGUCGUUGUAUACUUGCGAAUUAGAAUCUUAAAGUGUAACAUCAUUUUGUUGGAGAAAUGCCCAUCAAUAUUUUUCCCAGUUUGCUGAAUGUGUUCUGAAGGAGGAGUCGAUUGUCUUUUCAAAUAUGGACAAAGAUGUUAACAUCAUGAGAGAAGAAAUAGCAGUUACUCUCCUCAAAAAACACUGGUAUGUUACAUUUCUAAUUCAAUAUAAUUGUAGAUUAAAAAAACAUGUACAGUGGGGCAAAAAAGUAUUUAGUCAGCCAUCAAUUGUGCAAGUUCUCCCACUUAAAA
Molecule: long non-coding RNA, 1020 nt
Organism: Oncorhynchus kisutch (coho salmon)
Lineage: Eukaryota; Metazoa; Chordata; Actinopteri; Salmoniformes; Salmonidae
Exons: 3
Source: RefSeq, a predicted model, not a curated record